RNAcentral lists this ribosomal RNA (659 nucleotides) under uncultured bacterium. RNAcentral's name for it is "bacterial SSU rRNA". It matches the Rfam family "Bacterial small subunit ribosomal RNA", at positions 94 to 788 of the family's 1533-position model. The record is from RNAcentral.
AGUGGCGGACGGGUGAGUAACGCGUGAGAAUCUGCCUUGGGGUCGGGGACAACCACUGGAAACGGUGGCUAAUACCGGAUAAGCCGAUUGGUGAAAGAUUUAUUGCCCGAAGAGGAGCUCGCGUCUGAUUAGCUAGUUGGUGAGGUAAGAGCUCACCAAGGCAGCGAUCAGUAGCUGGUCUGAGAGGACGAUCAGCCACACUGGGACUGAGACACGGCCCAGACUCCUACGGGAGGCAGCAGUGGGGAAUUUUCCGCAAUGGGCGAAAGCCUGACGGAGCAAGACCGCGUGAGGGAGAAGGCUCUUGGGUUGUAAACCUCUUUUCUCAGGGAAGAAGCUCUGACGGUACCUGAGGAAUCAGCCUCGGCUAACUCCGUGCCAGCAGCCGCGGUAAUACGGAGGAGGCAAGCGUUAUCCGGAAUUAUUGGGCGUAAAGCGUCCGCAGGUGGCGAUUCAAGUCUGCUGUCAAAGCACGGGGCUUAACUCCGUAAAGGCAGUGGAAACUGAAUAGCUAGAGUGCCGUAGGGGUAGAGGGAAUUCCCGGUGUAGCGGUGAAAUGCGUAGAGAUCGGGAAGAACAUCGGUGGCGAAAGCGCUCUACUGGACGGCAACUGACACUCAGGGACGAAAGCUAGGGGAGCGAAUGGGAUUAGAUACCCC